This 450-nucleotide ribosomal RNA is filed under the name uncultured bacterium. RNAcentral describes it as "partial 16S ribosomal RNA". It matches the Rfam family "Bacterial small subunit ribosomal RNA", at positions 354 to 796 of the family's 1533-position model. The record is from RNAcentral.
GUGGGGAAUAUUGGACAAUGGGCGAAAGCCUGAUCCAGCCAUGCCGCGUGUGUGAAGAAGGUCUUCGGAUUGUAAUGCACUUUAAGUUGGGAGGAAGGGUAGUAACGUAAUACGUUGCUACUUUGACGUUACCGACAGAAUAAGCACCGGCUAACUUCGUGCCAGCAGCCGCGGUAAUACGAAGGGUGCAAGCGUUAAUCGGAAUUACUGGGCGUAAAGCGCGCGUAGGUGGUUCAGUAAGUUGGAAGUGAAAUCCCCGGGCUCAACCUGGGAACUGCUUUCAAAACUGCUGAGCUAGAGUACGGUAGAGGGUGGUGGAAUUUCCUGUGUAGCGGUGAAAUGCGUAGAUAUAGGAAGGAACACCAGUGGCGAAGGCGACCACCUGGACUGAUACUGACACUGAGGUGCGAAAGCGUGGGGAGCAAACAGGAUUAGAAACCCCGGUAGUCC